CCUACGGGAUGCAGCAGUGAGGCAUAUUGGUCAAUGUGCGUAAGCCUGAACCAGCCAAGUCGCGUGAGGGAUGAAGGUUCUAUGGAUCGUAAACCUCUUUUAUAAGGGAAUAAAGUGUGGGACGUGUCCUGUUUUGUAUGUACCUUAUGAAUAAGGAUCGGCUAACUCCGUGCCAGCAGCCGCGGUAAUACGGAGGAUCCGAGCGUUAUCCGGAUUUAUUGGGUUUAAAGGGUGCGUAGGCGGCCUUUUAAGUCAGCGGUGAAAGUCUGUGGCUCAACCAUAGAAUUGCCGUUGACACUGGAAGGCUUGAGUAUGUUUGAGGCAGGCGGAAUGUGUGGUGUAGCGGUGAAAUGCUUAGAUAUCACGCAGAACCCCGAUUGCGAAGGCAGCCUGCCAAGCCAUGACUGACGCUGAUGCACGAAAGCGUGGGGAUCAAACAGGAUUAGAUACCCCAGUAGUC
This 460-nucleotide ribosomal RNA is filed under the name uncultured bacterium. Its description in RNAcentral is "partial 16S ribosomal RNA". It matches the Rfam family "Bacterial small subunit ribosomal RNA", at positions 338 to 795 of the family's 1533-position model. The record is from RNAcentral.